RNAcentral lists this ribosomal RNA (308 nucleotides) under Ice core clone 48-18. RNAcentral's name for it is "SSU rRNA". It matches the Rfam family "Eukaryotic small subunit ribosomal RNA", at positions 601 to 907 of the family's 1831-position model. The record is from RNAcentral.
AUAUUAAAAUUGUUGGCGUUAAAAAGCUCGUAGUCGAACUUCGGCGUUUGAAGGCCGGUCCGCUUGUAAUGAGUGUGUACUGGAUCCUUUAGAUGCUUUACCUCCUGGUGAACUAGCAUGGCGUUUACUCGUCGUGUUAGGGAACCCGGACAGUUACUUUGAAAAAAUUAGAGUGUUCAAAGCAGGCAUGUUUGCCCGAAUAUCUUAGCAUGGAAUAAUAGAAUAGGACGUGCACGCCUAUUGUGUUGGUCUCUAGGUGUGCCGUAAUGAUGAAUAGGGGCGGUUGGGGGCAUUUGUAUUCAUUGCUA